Sarcophilus harrisii (Tasmanian devil) is the source of this 694-nucleotide long non-coding RNA. RefSeq lists it as uncharacterized. Lineage: Eukaryota; Metazoa; Chordata; Mammalia; Dasyuromorphia; Dasyuridae. The transcript is spliced from 3 exons. The record is from RefSeq and is a predicted model, not a curated record.
CAGCACAAUGGCUGGAGCUCCAAAUAGAUAUAGUACGAUCCUGCAUAAGUUGUACAGCUUCAACUGCCCCCUUUGCCAAAUAUGACAGAAGCAAUUAAAGACGAGAAGGUGGAGACAAGAGGGCGGAGGACAGGAUGAGGGGGAAAGGGAAGGGCAUAGCGAGAGUGUAAAAUUUGCAAAGCUGGGUCUCUCUGGCCAGCGCAAGCAUGGUCCCAGGCUCACCGGUCGGGAGGUCCUGCCAACCUGUCCCCACCUAAACAUACUCGGAUCUUUCCUUAACAUGUUUUAGUUUUUAAAUACUCGCUACUAGCAACGGCUACCCCCGCGGCCGCUGCAGCUGCUGCGGGUUCUGACAUUGUAGGAAUGCCUGGUUCCGGGGGAUGCUCGGUCAGCCAUGAGAAUGGGUGGGCGAAGGAAUUUUGGAGGACCAGAGAGCAAAGAUGGAACCUUGUGGUGUGUGUUGAGCGGAAAGAGAUAAAGGGCUCAUGAGGAUUCGCAAAAGAACAUCCAUGAAGAUAUUAUAGUUAUACGCCAACAAAUUAUUCCAGAGGACUUAAAGGUAGAAAAAUUCUUUGAAGAACUUGAUAAGGUCAUCCAAAAUAGAAACAUCAAAGUCCAGUGUCAAGACAAAAGUCAGAAUGAAUGAUGAUUGAGCAGGAGGCAAUGGAUCACCUUGGUGUCUUUGAAGACUGAU